RNAcentral lists this ribosomal RNA (439 nucleotides) under uncultured bacterium. RNAcentral's name for it is "partial 16S ribosomal RNA". It matches the Rfam family "Bacterial small subunit ribosomal RNA", at positions 339 to 795 of the family's 1533-position model. The record is from RNAcentral.
CUACGGGAGGCUGCAGUGGGGAAUAUUGCACAAUGGAGGAAACUCUGAUGCAGCAACGCCGCGUGGAGGAUGACACUUUUCGGAGCGUAAACUCCUUUUAUAUAGGAAGAAGAUGACGGUACUAUAUGAAUAAGCGCCGGCUAACUCCGUGCCAGCAGCCGCGGUAAUACGGAGGGCGCAAGCGUUACUCGGAAUCACUGGGCGUAAAGAGCGUGUAGGCGGAUUAAAAAGUCAGAAGUGAAAUCCUAUAGCUUAACUAUAGAACUGCUUCUGAAACUCUUAAUCUAGAAUAUGGGAGAGGUAGAUGGAAUUACUGGUGUAGGGGUAAAAUCCGUAGAGAUCAGAAGGAAUACCGAUUGCGAAGGCGAUCUACUAGAACAUUAUUGACGCUGAGACGCGAAAGCGCGGGGAGCAAACAGGAUUAGAUACCCUUGUAGUC